UGUUUAUUGAAUAAUAUCCUAGUUCCUGCUUUACUGCAAAGAAACUGUGAAAAUGCUGAUGUCAAGUAUUAAUGAAAGUGUUUAUUCGUCAAGAAGCAUGUGCAGAAUUCAAGUUUGUGAAUAAUUUGAAAAAGCAGUUAAAAAUCAGGACCAAUUAGCAUCCAAGAAAUAGCCAAAGCAGAAUUGUUCUUCAUAUGAGAAACACAAAAUUAAUGCUUUGGUGAGGACAUCCACCAACUAUUACACCAUGGAAUGGUCUUAUAUAAAAGUUCUAGAAAUAAAUGCUGAGGUGAUGCAAGUGUUACAUCAGCAUACAGAUACAGAAGAUAAUGAUUUCAUCAGAUGAUUUAAGUAUAAUAUUAUAUUACUUCUGCUACGAAAGAGAUGGUGUUGAUUACAAUAAAAGUGCAGUUAUGCUGCUACAUCCACAGUUUACUGUGACCUCCCAGAAAUUGUUAACAAUAUUCAUAAUGAGUCACACUGUAUACAUUACUAAUUAAACUCUAACAUAUUUAUAAAUAUUACACAAAUAUCACAUUACACAAAUUUUGUGAUUAUUCCCAUUUAACACUGGAAUGUACUAGUGCAGAGUGUCUUAAACUGCAGGCCAUGACUCCCAUGGGGGGUCGUCAAAAAUUUUAGCAUUUUGAUAUUUCUGUAACUUAUAAUAAUUUUACAAUUACCAAAUAUUUUUACACAAUGUAUCUGAAAAUAGCUAAAGAUAAGCCAAUACAAAGA
Stegodyphus dumicola is the source of this 738-nucleotide long non-coding RNA. NCBI's taxonomy places the organism in Eukaryota, Metazoa, Arthropoda, Arachnida, Araneae, Eresidae. The record is from RefSeq and is a predicted model, not a curated record.